This 509-nucleotide long non-coding RNA is filed under the name Crocodylus porosus (Australian saltwater crocodile). RNAcentral describes it as "lncRNA (ENSCPRG00005005158.1)". The record is from RNAcentral. Lineage: Eukaryota; Metazoa; Chordata; Crocodylia; Crocodylidae.
UUUACUAGCACAGCAAAGCCAAUCUUCUUUUAUUUUUCAGGAAGCAUCAGGCAGCUGCUUAGAGCAAUAACUUACACGAGUUUCACUUUCCUUGUGCUCCAAGUGGCGUUUCAGAUUGCCUUCUACUAUCUGCUACCUAAUGGCAGCAGAUGGGAGGUCCUGCUCUGUCAUUUUGGACUUCUGAGGCUCAGCAGAGUUGAUGCUGGAAAUAUCUUUCGCCUACUGGUACCUGAUAUUGGAAUGUUUUUCUCCAGUAUCGUGGCUACACGGCUUUAUUCGAAACUGGGGAAUGCUCAGAAUUGCAAAAUGCAGCUUUGUUCUGAAGAUGAGGAACAGAAUGAAGAAGAGGGUUAUGAAACAGAAACAGAAGACAGUUACGAAGAGGAGUCUUCCUCUGAAGAUAAUUCAGGGAAAAAGGCAGGUUUUAAAAAGCCAGCUUUUGUUCAGAAAGCCAUUGUCUUCCUUGCUGGCUUGAAAAGUAUAAUUGAUGUCAUGCUGAGACAUGCUGG